RNAcentral lists this long non-coding RNA (414 nucleotides) under Musa acuminata (dwarf banana). Its description in RNAcentral is "long non-coding RNA (MACU_LNC000033)". Lineage: Eukaryota; Viridiplantae; Streptophyta; Magnoliopsida; Zingiberales; Musaceae. The record is from RNAcentral.
AGUUGCCCUCUUCCUCACCCUCAAUCUCCUCUUCUUUGCCCUCACCACUGCCUGUGGCACCAGUUGCCCCACACCUACACCGAAGCCCACCCCACGCCCAUCCUACGGCAAAUGCCCCGUCGACACCCUGAAACUGGCCGCCUGCGCCAACGUGCUCAACGGCCUGAUCACCGUCGGCGUCGGCAAGUUCCCGAAGCAACCGUGCGAGUGCUGUACUCUCAUCGACGGCCUCCUUGACCUCGAGGCCGCCGUCUGCCUGUGCACUGCUCUCAAGGCCAAUGUCCUGGGCAUCCACCUCAACCUCCCCAUCAACCUCAGCUUGCUCCUCAACUACUGCGGCAAGAAGGUCCCCAAGGAGUUCCAGUGCCCUUGAGCCUCGCUGUCAUCUCUGUCGUCUGUUCCCGUAGUGCAUGC